CCUACGGGUGGCAGCAGUGGGGGAUAUUGCACAAUGGGGGGAACCCUGAUGCAGCGACGCCGCGUGGGUGAAGGAGCGUUUCGGCGCGUAAAGCCCUAUCGGCAGGGAAGCAGAUGACGGUACCUGGCCAAGAAGCCCCGGCUAACUACGGGCCAGCAGCCGCGGGAAGACUUGGGGCGCACGCGUUAGCCGGAUUUACUGGGGGUAAAGGGGGCGCAGAUGGUAAUGCAAGCCAGGAGUGAAAGCCCGGGGUCCAACCCCGGGAAUGCUGUUGAAACUGCAUGGCUGGAGUGCAGGAGGGGCAGGCGGAAUUCCUGGUGUAGCGGUGAAAUGCGUAGAUAUUAGGAGGAACACCGGUGGCGAAGGCGGCCUGCUGGACUGUGACUGACGUUGAGGCACGAAGGCGUGGGGAGCAAACAGGAUUAGAUACCCUUGUAGUC
RNAcentral lists this ribosomal RNA (440 nucleotides) under uncultured bacterium. Its description in RNAcentral is "partial 16S ribosomal RNA". It matches the Rfam family "Bacterial small subunit ribosomal RNA", at positions 338 to 795 of the family's 1533-position model. The record is from RNAcentral.